This 889-nucleotide ribosomal RNA is filed under the name Staphylococcus hominis. RNAcentral describes it as "bacterial SSU rRNA". It matches the Rfam family "Bacterial small subunit ribosomal RNA", at positions 55 to 926 of the family's 1533-position model. The record is from RNAcentral. Lineage: Bacteria; Bacillati; Bacillota; Bacilli; Caryophanales; Staphylococcaceae.
AUGCAGUCGAGCGAACAGACGAGGAGCUUGCUCCUCUGACGUUAGCGGCGGACGGGUGAGUAACACGUGGGUAACCUACCUAUAAGACUGGGAUAACUUCGGGAAACCGGAGCUAAUACCGGAUAAUAUUUCGAACCGCAUGGUUCGAUAGUGAAAGAUGGCUUUGCUAUCACUUAUAGAUGGACCUGCGCCGUAUUAGCUAGUUGGUAAGGUAACGGCUUACCAAGGCAACGAUACGUAGCCGACCUGAGAGGGUGAUCGGCCACACUGGAACUGAGACACGGUCCAGACUCCUACGGGAGGCAGCAGUAGGGAAUCUUCCGCAAUGGGCGAAAGCCUGACGGAGCAACGCCGCGUGAGUGAUGAAGGUCUUCGGAUCGUAAAACUCUGUUAUUAGGGAAGAACAUACGUGUAAGUAACUGUGCACGUCUUGACGGUACCUAAUCAGAAAGCCACGGCUAACUACGUGCCAGCAGCCGCGGUAAUACGUAGGUGGCAAGCGUUAUCCGGAAUUAUUGGGCGUAAAGCGCGCGUAGGCGGUUUUUUAAGUCUGAUGUGAAAGCCCACGGCUCAACCGUGGAGGGUCAUUGGAAACUGGAAAACUUGAGUGCAGAAGAGGAAAGUGGAAUUCCAUGUGUAGCGGUGAAAUGCGCAGAGAUAUGGAGGAACACCAGUGGCGAAGGCGACUUUCUGGUCUGUAACUGACGCUGAUGUGCGAAAGCGUGGGGAUCAAACAGGAUUAGAUACCCUGGUAGUCCACGCCGUAAACGAUGAGUGCUAAGUGUUAGGGGGUUUCCGCCCCUUAGUGCUGCNGCUAACGCAUUAAGCACUCCGCCUGGAGAGUACGACCGCAAGGGUGAAACUCAAAGGAAUUGACGUUGACCCUCAC